This 249-nucleotide ribosomal RNA is filed under the name Salmonella enterica. RNAcentral's name for it is "partial 23S ribosomal RNA". It matches the Rfam family "Bacterial large subunit ribosomal RNA", at positions 1 to 250 of the family's 2925-position model. RNAcentral also lists the same sequence under 1 other name. Lineage: Bacteria; Pseudomonadati; Pseudomonadota; Gammaproteobacteria; Enterobacterales; Enterobacteriaceae. The record is from RNAcentral.
GGUUAAGCGACUAAGCGUACACGGUGGAUGCCCUGGCAGUCAGAGGCGAUGAAGGACGUGCUAAUCUGCGAUAAGCGCCGGUAAGGUGAUAUGAACCGUUAUAACCGGCGAUUUCCGAAUGGGGAAACCCAGUGUGAUUCGUCACACUAUCAUUAACUGAAUCCAUAGGUUAAUGAGGCGAACCGGGGGAACUGAAACAUCUAAGUACCCCGAGGAAAAGAAAUCAACCGAGAUUCCCCCAGUAGCGGC